Molecule: RNA transcript, 1060 nt
Organism: Coffea eugenioides
Lineage: Eukaryota; Viridiplantae; Streptophyta; Magnoliopsida; Gentianales; Rubiaceae
Exons: 3
Source: RefSeq, a predicted model, not a curated record
UCAUAAAUGCUCCCAGUUUAUUCGACUUUGCUCCCUUAUCUAAAAUUAUCGCGGGAGCGUUCGUCCAAAGAAAUUGACACGCCAUAUGUCCGUGCAAUUCUCGGUUUCUUCUGUGUUCCUCUUUUUCUCCCGGCAGCAAAUUGUUUUUCUGCUCUGUCCUAAAACCCGCGAAAAAAGGUCCGAGGAAAAAAGUUAUCACAGAUUGUUCUGAGAAAUGGGUUCGGUGUUAUUCUCAAAUCCAACCCUGAUAAUGGCAGAGCUAAAGUAUGUAGGCCAUUAUAAAAUAGGAAACUCGGGCAGCCUGAAUCUUUAUUUUAAACCCAAAUUCCAUCACAAACAUGAGCUCCGACUUUCCAGAUUUCCAAGUCUUCUUUCUCCUUCAAACACCCAGUACAAUAUAGAAGGCGACCCAGAAGAAGAUUCUGUUCAACACCUUAGGGUCCCAAGCAGUUGGUUAGACCCUUCGCAAGCCUUGGAGGAAUCAGAAUGGCUAAGGGUGACUCUUCAUAAGUGGUUGGAUGAUGAAUACUGUCCCGAGGAAACGAACAUCAAAAUUAGUGAGGUUGCUAGCCACUCAUUUUACAAGUCGUUGAUGGAGAAAAAAACUGACCUGGGCGAAAUAUUGUUGGAAAUGGUUCAGGAAUUGGGUUCUAUAUCCUAUCAGGAGAGCUUUCAUGGAGCAUUUUCAUCAGCAAAUGCAGCUGUUGAUCUCAUAAUUCAACGGAUACAGCAGGAUUAGAUUCCUGGCUAGAAAGAAGCACAUCUCUAACAUCAUUGGUUGUUGCAGCAUAUUGAAAGGAUUCCUGACAAUGAUCCAUCAGGCUAAGAUUAUGACACACAUGCCGGGUCUGUAUAUUAGCGACCUAGAUGCAUAUUUCUUCCUUCUAUUAUGAAAUUAAAUUUCAGUUCCUACUUCCUGUAUAUUUAACAUGCAUUCGUGUCCGUUCGGUGACACUGUAAUAAAGAUUGAUCCAUCCUGCAUCCAUAUCUUGAACAUAUAAGGUCAAACUGAUGACAUGCUUAUUGCUUAGUUUGUAAUUACCUGGGUCUUAGUUAAGAA